Molecule: ribosomal RNA, 657 nt
Filed under: uncultured Pantoea sp.
Lineage: Bacteria; Pseudomonadati; Pseudomonadota; Gammaproteobacteria; Enterobacterales; Erwiniaceae
Description: bacterial SSU rRNA
Rfam family: Bacterial small subunit ribosomal RNA
Source: RNAcentral
AUUGGACGCUGGCGGCAGGCCUAACACAUGCAAGUCGGACGGUAGCACAGAGGAGCUUGCUCCUUGGGUGACGAGUGGCGGACGGGUGAGUAAUGUCUGGGGAUCUGCCCGAUAGAGGGGGAUAACCACUGGAAACGGUGGCUAAUACCGCAUAACGUCGCAAGACCAAAGAGGGGGACCUUCGGGCCUCUCACUAUCGGAUGAACCCAGAUGGGAUUAGCUAGUAGGCGGGGUAAUGGCCCACCUAGGCGACGAUCCCUAGCUGGUCUGAGAGGAUGACCAGCCACACUGGAACUGAGACACGGUCCAGACUCCUACGGGAGGCAGCAGUGGGGAAUAUUGCACAAUGGGCGCAAGCCUGAUGCAGCCAUGCCGCGUGUAUGAAGAAGGCCUUCGGGUUGUAAAGUACUUUCAGCGGGGAGGAAGGCGAUAAGGUUAAUAACCUUGUCGAUUGACGUUACCCGCAGAAGAAGCACCGGCUAACUCCGUGCCAGCAGCCGCGGUAAUACGGAGGGUGCAAGCGUUAAUCGGAAUUACUGGGCGUAAAGCGCACGCAGGCGGUCUGUCAAGUCGGAUGUGAAAUCCCCGGGCUCAACCUGGGAACUGCAUUCGAAACUGGCAGGCUUGAGUCUCGUAGAGGGGGGUAGAAUUCCAGGU